UGAUUAUCUCAUUUUCCUUUGUAUAAUUAGCUUGUUUGAAUGAGGAUUCAAACAAGGUCCACAUGUGACAUUUGUUUGGCUUGUUUCUAAAGUUACAUUCAAUCUACAGGUUUCCUCUUUUUUCUAAUUCACUGCAAAUUAUUUGCUGAUGAAACCAGGUCAUUUGUCCUUUAAUCUCUCUCAUCCUGGUUUUGGCUGAUUGCAUUCCUUCUAUGUCAUUAGACCUGUUCUUCUCCCUUUAUUUCCUGUAAACUAAAAAUUAGAUUGGUUGAAUGUUUUAGUCAGGUUCCCUUAUUUUUUCUCAUUUUACCAAGAUGCAUUUAUAAAUAAUGUUUUAAUCAGCCUUUUCAUUGCUGUGAACAAAAGACCUGACAAGUUAUAGGCGAAAAAUUUUAUUUUGACUCAUGAUUUCCAAGUUCCACUCCAUGGCCACUAAUUCCACAGCUCUGUACCUGGGGUGGGUCAGUACAUCAAGGUGAAAAAACACAGCAGAGGAAAUCAUCUCAGGACAUGGCAACCAGUAAGCAGAGAAACAGCUCUGCUCACCAGGGACAAAAUACAAACCCAAAGGCAAGACCCCCAGACCCACCUCCUCCAGCCACACCCUUCCUAUAACUAGGUACCAUUCUAUCAAACCAUAUCAGUGAAUUAAUUCACCAACGAGGUUACAGCUCUCAUGAUCUAAUCAUUUUACCCCAAAACAUUCUUUUUUUUUAAUGUUUUAGUUUUAGGUGGACACAAUAUCUUAUUUUUUAAUUUUUAUGUGGUGCUGAGGGUCGAACCCAGAGCCUCAUGCAUGCUAGGCAAGUUCACUACCACUGAGCCACAAUCCCAGCCCCCAAAACAUUCUUUCAUUGUCUUACGUAUCAACUUUGGGGGGAGGGGACACCUAAUAUCUAUACCAUAACAAAUAUUAUUGUUCACAUCCUAGGAAGAAGCACAUAGAAAGCCUGUCUUUAUUAUGUGAUGUAGGAGAAAGUUUGUGAUUUUAUAAGUAUAUGUUAC
This 1005-nucleotide long non-coding RNA is filed under the name Marmota monax (woodchuck). Lineage: Eukaryota; Metazoa; Chordata; Mammalia; Rodentia; Sciuridae. The record is from RNAcentral.